GAUGUGGAUGAGAUGUGUCUGCUGACUGUGAGACGAACCUUCAAUGGGUCUGGGACGUACUGUGUGAACCUCACCCUGGGGGAUGACACAAGCCUGGCUCUCACGAGCACCCUGAUUUCUGUUCCUGACAGAGACCCAGCCUCGCCUUUAAGGAUGGCAAACAGUGCCCUGAUCUCCGUUGGCUGCUUGGCCAUAUUUGUCACUGUGAUCUCCCUCUUGGUGUACAAGUAAGUUUUUGGUUCCUACGCUUUAUAUCACUAUAGUGUAUUGUCAAAAGUGAAUAUAUCUCUGUGUAAAUAGGCAUUUUUCCCUUUUUUGCUUUUAAACAUUUUGUGUAGGGGAGGAAAAUAUUACAUUGAAUGGUGAAUACCAAACUGGCCUGUUAAUCUUGUUGUGGUUUGUUUUUAAUCCUAAAAGAUGCUACCAGAUCUCAGUAACUUUACAAAAUUAUGUCAACUUAAUUUUAACAUGAUAGUCUCAAAUUAUAGUAAGCAGGCACAUUUCUUGCAUGAACAAGAGUAAAUAAAUGUACUUUCAU
This 538-nucleotide long non-coding RNA is filed under the name Homo sapiens (human). Its description in RNAcentral is "long non-coding RNA NONHSAT119522.2". Lineage: Eukaryota; Metazoa; Chordata; Mammalia; Primates; Hominidae. The record is from RNAcentral.